This 468-nucleotide ribosomal RNA is filed under the name uncultured bacterium. RNAcentral describes it as "partial 16S ribosomal RNA". It matches the Rfam family "Bacterial small subunit ribosomal RNA", at positions 28 to 507 of the family's 1533-position model. The record is from RNAcentral.
GACGAACGCUGGCGGCGUGCUUAACACAUGCAAGUCGAACGGAAAGGCCCUGCUUUUGUGGGGUGCUCGAGUGGCGAACGGGUGAGUAACACGUGAGUAACCUGCCCUUGACUUUGGGAUAACUUCAGGAAACUGGGGCUAAUACCGGAUAGGAGCCCCUGCUGCAUGGUGGGGGUUGGAAAGUUUCGGCGGUUGGGGAUGGACUCGCGGCUUAUCAGCUUGUUGGUGGGGUAGUGGCUUACCAAGGCUUUGACGGGUAGCCGGCCUGAGAGGGUGACCGGCCACAUUGGGACUGAGAUACGGCCCAGACUCCUACGGGAGGCAGCAGUGGGGAAUAUUGCACAAUGGGCGGGAGCCUGAUGCAGCAACGCCGCGUGCGGGAUGACGGCCUUCGGGUUGUAAACCGCUUUCGCCUGUGACGAAGCGUGAGUGACGGUAAUGGGUAAAGAAGCACCGGCUAACUACGUG